UUUAAAAGCCGUUUGACCAGUGGUAGGAUGGUCGCACCUCCUGAUUUUGCCAAGUUGGGGCUGUCCUGAGGGCUACAACUUCGAUGAAGUCCCAGGACCAACAAAUCACACCAGCCAAUCAAAAUCAUUUGCUGCAUCUGACAUCAUCAGUGUGAGUCUUCUUUUCAAAUUCAACUGAAACAGGGGGAGAGCUAAGCUUCCAGUCUUCAGUUCAUGUGAUGAUCAAGAAGAAGUCAGCCAAAUGACUGAGGAAAAGUUUAAUAAUGACUCCCUAGCCACACUCAAUGACAAUCAGUGGAUUGAUGAUGAGAUUUUGGAACUGGAAUUCAGGUUAGAUUAACAUGUAAGAAUUAACUGUUUGUUGAAAUAGAAAUUAAAGGACUUU
This 385-nucleotide long non-coding RNA is filed under the name Astyanax mexicanus (Mexican tetra). RNAcentral's name for it is "lncRNA (ENSAMXG00005008088.1)". The record is from RNAcentral. Lineage: Eukaryota; Metazoa; Chordata; Actinopteri; Characiformes; Acestrorhamphidae.